RNAcentral lists this ribosomal RNA (1242 nucleotides) under metagenome. RNAcentral describes it as "bacterial LSU rRNA". It matches the Rfam family "Bacterial large subunit ribosomal RNA", at positions 1564 to 2815 of the family's 2925-position model. The record is from RNAcentral.
UGAGUACGAGAUGCUACGGCAUCGAAGCAGUCUAUGUCAUACUUCCAAGAAAAGCUUGCACUGUCAUAAACAAAGAAUGCCUGUACCAUAACCGACACAGGUGGGUAGGUAGAGUAUACUAAGGGGCGCGAGAUAACUCUCUCUAAGGAACUCGGCAAAAUGACUCCGUAACUUCGGGAGAAGGAGUGCCUUAUUUCUAAGGUUGCAAUAACAAGAUCCAAGCAACUGUUUACCAAAAACACAGGUCUCCGCUAAGUCGUAAGACGAUGUAUGGGGGCUGACGCCUGCCCAGUGCCAGAAGGUUAAAGAAGUUGGUUAGCAUUAGCGAAGCUGAUAACUGAAGCCCUGGUGAACGGCGGCCGUAACUAUAACGGUCCUAAGGUAGCGAAAUUCCUUGUCGGGUAAGUUCCGACCCGCACGAAAGGCGUAAUGAUUUGGAUACUGUCUCGGAGAGGGGCUCGGUGAAAUAGACUUGUCUGUGAAGAUGCGGACUACCUGCACCUGGACAGAAAGACCCUAUGAAGCUUUACUGUAACUUGAGAUUGAAAUUGGACUUUAUUUGCGCAGUAUAGGUGGGAGGCGUUGAGAAUAAUCUUGCGGGAUUGUUGGAGCCAUCAGUGAGAUACCACUCUUGUAAUGUUAGAUUUCUAACUUUGUAUCAUUAUCUGGUCAAAGAACAGUUUCAGGCGGGCAGUUUGACUGGGGCGGUCGCCUCCCAAAGGGUAACGGAGGCGCACAAAGGUUUCCUCUGAACGGGUAGAAAUCGUAUCUAGAGUGUAAAGGCAUAAGGAAGCUUGACUGUGAGACCUACAAGUCGAGCAGGGACGAAAGUCGGUCUUAGUGAUCUGACGGUGCUGAGUGGAAAGGCCGUCACCCAACGGAUAAAAGUUACUCUAAGGAUAACAGGCUGAUCUCCCCCAAGAGUUCACAUCGACGGGGAGGUUUGGCACCUCGAUGUCGGCUCAUCGCAUCCUGGGGCGGUAGUCCGUCCCAAGGGUUGGGCUGUUCGCCCAUGAAAGCGGUACGCGAGCUGGGUUCAGAACGUCGUGAGACAGUUCGGUCCAUAUCCGGUGUAGGCGUUAGAAUAUUGAGAGGAGCCUUCUCUAGUACGAGAGGACCGAGAAGGACAUACCUCUGGUGUACCAGUUAUCGUGCCAACGGUAAACGCUGGGUAGCUAUGUAUGGAGUGGAUAACCGCUGAAAGCAUCUAAGUGGGAAGCCCACCUCAAGAUAAGUAUUCUC